UAGGGAAUCUUCCACAAUGGACGCAAGUCUGAUGGAGCAACGCCGCGUGAGUGAAGAAGGUUUUCGGAUCGUAAAGCUCUGUUGUUGGUGAAGAAGGAUAGAGGCAGUAACUGGCCUUUAUUUGACGGUAAUCAACCAGAAAGUCACGGCUAACUACGUGCCAGCAGCCGCGGUAAUACGUAGGUGGCAAGCGUUGUCCGGAUUUAUUGGGCGUAAAGCGAGCGCAGGCGGAAGAAUAAGUCUGAUGUGAAAGCCCUCGGCUUAACCGAGGAAUUGCAUCGGAAACUGUUUUCUUGAGUGCAGAAGAGGAGAGUAGAACUCCAUGUGUAGCGGCGGAAUGCGUAGAUAUAUGGAAGAAUACCAGUGGCGAAGGCGGCUCUCUGGUCUGCAACUGACGCUGAGGCUCGAAAGCAUGGGUAGCGAACAGGAUUAGAUACCCUGGUAGUCCAUGCCGUAAACGAUGAGUGCUAAGUGUUGGGAGGCCUCCGCCUCUCAGUGCUGCAGCUAACGCAUUAAGCACUCCGCCUGGGGGAGUACGACCGCAAGGUUGAAAC
Molecule: ribosomal RNA, 554 nt
Filed under: uncultured bacterium
Lineage: Bacteria
Description: partial 16S ribosomal RNA
Rfam family: Bacterial small subunit ribosomal RNA
Source: RNAcentral